Long non-coding RNA from Apis florea (little honeybee), 782 nucleotides. Lineage: Eukaryota; Metazoa; Arthropoda; Insecta; Hymenoptera; Apidae. The record is from RefSeq and is a predicted model, not a curated record.
AGAUUUAUUUUUCUCGAUUUCGAUCGUUAUUUUUUUUUUUUUUCUUUUUUACAUAUAUUCGUUUCGUGCACGAAGCUGCCGACUUUGCUGUUGGUCGAUCGACUCAAUGCAUACUUUGAGGAAGACAAAAAGAAGAUUUGUCGACGGUAAAAAAGUAGAUUGAAAGUUGGGGAAAAAAAUAUACGCCUGUUCUUGCGAAAGAUCUUGUUGGAUGGAGAUGAUGGAACGGAAUCUUCGACGGUUCGUUGACUUUGGACGCAUAUUAAAUUUCCACUUGCAACGUAUAAAAAUAUGAAUAAAAAAACACGAGUGUGCCGGUUAUCAAAAUAGCGGAAAAGGUAAAUGAGAAACGUGAUAAUAAAUGGUGGGUAAGCGUAUUUUAUAACAAUAUCGAGAACACGAGGAUAAAGUUGAUAGAACGGAAUCUAUGUGGAACCGGUUCAUCCGCUUCUUUCGGUUCGAUGAAGUUCUAAAUACGGCCCUCCCUCGGUAACAGGAACCUCAAGGUUAACUGCUGGCUGUCGUAACAAUCCACGGAUGAAAUGACCGAUCGUUUGAAAAUACGCUAGUUAAAAAUUCUUUCGCCAUUCUGUAAUCCUGUAAUUAUUUCGAUAUCGACUCGCGACCCGAACGAAUCGAGCUUUCCAUCCCCGGUAACGUGACUUAUUCAAGUGGGUCACAAAAGAAAACGUCGUGUCAGUUGAAAUCCUGUAUUUUUGAUCAAGUCCAGAAUGGAAUAAUAAAUCUGACUAUUUUUAAUCUUUGCGCAGAUUUUUUUUUUC